GGUGGAUUGGCUGGAUUAAAACAGGACAUAUUAGCAGCAUUUAACCUUCAGUUACUCUUUAUGUAGUUAGAUAGGAGUCGUGUUUCUUUUUAGCUGAAAAACCUUACACCCAGAGAGACAGCCAGGUUCAUAAUGGAUAUAAGGAAGGCUUUUUCAAAAACAGGAGCCACAUUCAGAUCACCAUUGUGAUGAACCAGAAUGAACCCCUCAGUUUCUUGCACCGUCACAAUGAGGCUUUUUCCACCGAGCCUCUGAAAAACACUGGCAAAGGAGCUCCUCUGGGCUUUUACCACGUCCAGAAUAUUUCUGUCGAAGUUACAGAGUCUUUUAUUGAGAACAUCAAGAGCAAGCCCGUCGUGUUUGAAGUGUUCAGCCACUACCAGCAGCACCCGCUGCACCUCCAUGGCCAGGACGUGAACAGAAACUGUCCUGAGGAGACAGCUUCAGGAUCAAUGACAUGUCAUUCACACCAAUGAAGACGUGAGAUCUGAAUGGCAUCAGGCAAAGUUGCUAAGCUUGACAUCACAGACAACAACGACGGCACAGUUGCUGUCGAAUAUGCUCCCACAGAGGCCGGUCUGCAUGAGAUGGAUCCAUGCACAUCCCGGGAAGUCCCUUGCAGUUCUACGUGGAUUACAUGUGCCUAUGGCCCUGGCCUUAUCCACGGGACGGUCAACAAGCCAGCUGUCUUUACUGUUAAC
Long non-coding RNA from Pelmatolapia mariae (spotted tilapia), 701 nucleotides. RefSeq lists it as uncharacterized. The transcript is spliced from 7 exons. Lineage: Eukaryota; Metazoa; Chordata; Actinopteri; Cichliformes; Cichlidae. The record is from RefSeq and is a predicted model, not a curated record.